GAGGCUUUUAUUUUGGAUUCCAGCAUACAAGAGGUUCCACUCCCUCACUACUUGAUCCUCUGCCAUGGACACACAUGCACUCACCCACCCACCUUUUGGAUGUCAGUGGGUAGAUGCUGCCCUGUGAAGCUUUUGAACAUGUUUUCUCAACUCAUACACAGAUUGUUUUCUGCCAUAGUAGGCCUGCAGAUAUGUGUAGGAAUGUCUAUAUUUGCCUCUAUAUUUUCCUGUACUGUUAAUAGGACAAGCAUUGCCAUAAAGCACAGGGAUCGCUGGAGAAAUGACUGGAGCGUGGUCUUGGAGUCACCCUCAGUCCUGGGUGCCGCACCAGGAGCUGCUGUGAACCUGUUUGAUGACCAUUAUGAAUCUGAGUACAAAACAAACUGCCAAGUGCCACCUGAAGGCACCACAGCCUGGCCCUUGUCCCCUGCUCAGCCUUCAGAGUCACUCAGUAGGCACCGUGAGGCACAGGCUGGGAUUCCUUGUCACUCGGCCUUCCCAAGGCUGAACAUCAGUGUGGCUGAGUGAGCACCUGGGGGACUGCUGGGACUGUCAUUUCAGAAAAACUGCAGUGCUGUGUAAAGGACCAUGCUGCUGGAGGUGGGGUGGCUCAGCACAGCAGUUCCUCAGUCUGGUACGUGUGAUAACCAGCUAUCUGACAGGCUGCUGGAUUGUGCAAGGAAAGGGACACUUCAGUUAUGUGCUUCUACACAGCAAGGGCUGGUGUGUUUAUGUCCCAAAGUACCAUUUUUCAUGGAUGACUACUUUCUUUUCAAUUAAUGAAGUUUUGGAGACAUUUGAUUUCUUGGCAUUGCUAGGGUUAAUAAAUAGCUUCAAAUGCUACAAAUGAAUAGCUUCAUGCUACAAAUAUUACUUGAGCCUGGAGCCAAAAACUCUGCAGCACUGUUAAAUUCAUAAUGAAGUUCAAAGCACUGGGAGGUCUAAAAUUCUUUUGACAAAUAAUGGUGUGGGAGAAACAUAAUAGAAAAAAAUUCUACCUAAUGUCACCCAUUAAAAUACUUAAAAAGUGUGUGAAGGGUCUCAGACAUACAAGCAAUACAAAUGUCUUCCUCAUAGCCUCAGAUGGUCAGGGAGUCUGUAGCAGUGACUGGAAGACUAAGGACAUAUAUUCCAGUUCUGGCUGUGGCUGCUAGUCACAGGCCACCUUCAGAACAGAAGUAUUUAUUAAAUAUUUAAAACUGAGGGUAAGAUUAAAGCAAAUUCUUACAUUAAAAAAAAAAUCAACCAAACAUCAAAAGACAUAUACAUAAUACAGCACUAAUGGCAGUAGAAAAUGAAAUGGAGUAAGCAUUCCCAUAUUAAAAACCUGUUAAAACAGAACCUGUUAGAAAAAGGACUGUGUUCAUGCUGACAUGCAUAUAGAACUUGUAGUCCUUUUGUAAUCUGCCAGAACCAUUCCUCAACAUUGAAAGUAUUCAAAGCCAUUUUCCUCUUGUUGGUUAAUUUUUUAUGGCAUGGUUUUAGCACAGC
Molecule: long non-coding RNA, 1491 nt
Organism: Cyanistes caeruleus (blue tit)
Lineage: Eukaryota; Metazoa; Chordata; Aves; Passeriformes; Paridae
Source: RefSeq, a predicted model, not a curated record